This is a long non-coding RNA of Heterocephalus glaber (naked mole-rat), 709 nucleotides long. NCBI's taxonomy places the organism in Eukaryota, Metazoa, Chordata, Mammalia, Rodentia, Bathyergidae. The record is from Ensembl.
AAUUUCUACUGAGUCCCACCUUGUCCUGUGUCCGCCUCCUGCCUCCCACCACUCCAUCUUUGAAACAGCUUCACAGAGGUGGAAUUGAAACAUCUCCAUUGCCAGCAAAGCCUGAGAAGUGUUGCUUUCUGACCCCUUGGUUAGACUAGAGCACCUCCCUGGACUUCACGUUUGUGGCCUUAUGUAAUACCUGGAUUGUUGCCUGGUGUUUGAAGCAAGGACUUACACUUUGGAUCUGAUUGCUGUUUUUCUCUGGUUAUCUCUUCUACGUUGUUAAUCUCACAUUGUUCAACCAUACCCAAACAAUGUGAAUUAACCGAACAUGUUCUGGCUGUGGAGAUGAUCUGAAUAAAACUGCAAAAACAGUCAUAACCUUCAGAGUCUUGCAGGUGGUCUUGGGAAGGCCAAGCACAAAGGAGCUGGAGAGCAGUCACAAACAGAGCAUCAACAUGAACAAAGGAAGGUACCACUGGCUGAACACUGGAGGGCCGGAAAAUGCAGAAAAUGGUCAGCGAGAGAAAAGUGAUGAGGCUUCUUGGAGGAAAUACAUUCUAUCUGUGAUUGCAAAUCAAAACUUCUUUGUGAUGAUUCACAACCUACUGCACCAACAGCCCCAAAUGAGAGCCAACACACCAUGCACACCAACAUUCCUGAAAGUGCCUGGUUUAUGAAUAUGAAUGGAUAUUCCUUAAAGCAAUGAUUUAUUUAG